Molecule: ribosomal RNA, 465 nt
Filed under: uncultured Klebsiella sp.
Lineage: Bacteria; Pseudomonadati; Pseudomonadota; Gammaproteobacteria; Enterobacterales; Enterobacteriaceae
Description: bacterial SSU rRNA
Rfam family: Bacterial small subunit ribosomal RNA
Source: RNAcentral
CCUACGGGAGGCAGCAGUGGGGAAUAUUGCACAAUGGGCGCAAGCCUGAUGCAGCCAUGCCGCGUGUGUGAAGAAGGCCUUCGGGUUGUAAAGCACUUUCAGCGGGGAGGAAGGCGGUGAGGUUAAUAACCUCAUCGAUUGACGUUACCCGCAGAAGAAGCACCGGCUAACUCCGUGCCAGCAGCCGCGGUAAUACGGAGGGUGCAAGCGUUAAUCGGAAUUACUGGGCGUAAAGCGCACGCAGGCGGUCUGUCAAGUCGGAUGUGAAAUCCCCGGGCUCAACCUGGGAACUGCAUUCGAAACUGGCAGGCUAGAGUCUUGUAGAGGGGGGUAGAAUUCCAGGUGUAGCGGUGAAAUGCGUAGAGAUCUGGAGGAAUACCGGUGGCGAAGGCGGCCCCCUGGACAAAGACUGACGCUCAGGUGCGAAAGCGUGGGGAGCAAACAGGGUUAGAUACCCGUGUAGUC